Molecule: long non-coding RNA, 2224 nt
Organism: Piliocolobus tephrosceles (Ugandan red Colobus)
Lineage: Eukaryota; Metazoa; Chordata; Mammalia; Primates; Cercopithecidae
Exons: 9
Source: RefSeq, a predicted model, not a curated record
GCGCUCUCAUCUGCAUUUCCGCCGGCGCGAAACCAGUGUAGCUUCCUAGUUGUGUGGCCUCGGUCUUUCACUGUCCCUCACCAUCGCACGCCAUCGCACACCAUCGCAACCCACCGCACAUCAUCGCUCGAAAUCUGCAGACAUCUUGAUUCUUCCCGCGCCGUCUGUCAGGUCUCCGCUGCCACUCGACGCCAGGGCGCCGGGUGAGUCCACGGCAGGGCGCGUGGUCUGUGCCACUCUCACCAUCGGGGAAAACUGAGGCCCCAGGGAAGGCGGCCAGAGAGGUCAUGCCCGGUCCCUGUUGCAGUGCCUCGUCCCCUUUGCUGGAGUGAGCCCCCUGGGAUUCGCGUGUCCUCGGAAAAGACACUGGCAGGCCUUGUGGGCUGUGCUGCUCCUCGGAGGGCUUCGCACCAGCCAGCGCCCCCUCCUGCAGCACUCUGAUCUGCACCCCCGAGGGGCGUCCACUGUCCGCGGGGUGAGAAUGACCCGGGAGUGUCACAUGACUGCUGCCCCAUGUGUGUGAGAGGUGUCCUCUGGGAGAGCAUGGAUUCUGAGGUCCCAGUAGAGUUGGGGUUUCACCAUAUUGGACAGGCUGGUCUGGAACUCCUGACUUCAGAUGAUCCACCUGCCUCGGCUCCCCAAAGUGCUGGGAUUACAGGCGUGAGCCACCGCGCCUGGCCAGUCCAGUCUUUGAGAAGAGCCCCAGGAUUCUCUAUUUCUGCCCAUGUUUGCCUUCCUUUCAGCUUCUGGCAGGGAGUGGAUUGUCAGCUGACCUCUGUCCUAUGGGCCCAGUGUUCCCAGGUGAUGUUUCUUCAAGAAGAGGCUGAACUGUGGUGCUUGUAAGAUGGGUCCGCUGUGUGCAGAGGCUCCAUGGGAUGUGUUGCCUUCAUAGCAGCAGGGCGCUGGACCAUGGGUCCCUAAGGUCUCAGCCUUAGAUCCAAGGACAGUCCAAGGAAGUCCUAAGACCAUGGAGUUGGUGACCUGGGAUCUGGGUUUGCUGAUAUUUCUCGCCAUGAAUCUCUUGGUGGUGUUUAUGGACACCAGAGGGGCAGAGAAUAGAGAGUGAGGCUACCACAUGCAGUGUCACCAGAGCUGCUCCCUGCUGCCUGCUCAGAGCACCCCGGAUCCGCUGUUCAAUCUGCACAAGAUUCGGGGUCCAGACAUGGGAGACUCAGCUGCCUCGGAGGACCAUGGACAGGGAAGGCCAGCCCCGCAUCCCUCUGGCCAUGCCUGGAGUGACUUUAAUAACCAAGAGUUUUAUUCUUGAAUUUGUAGCUGUCGUUCACUUUUUAUCCACCCAUUCAAUAAACCUUACAGAAUUGCUCCAUCUGCCUCUUAAAUCAGUGACAACCCGUGAGCCUGCAAGGCUGGCUUUGGAGAAGGUGAUGCCAAUGCUGCUGUUCAGAGGACCACGCUUUGAGAACCACUGACCUCACCCCCAAACCAGCUUGGAGAUGAUGCACCCUAUCCCAGUAUAAUAUUUUAGUCUUCAUAAUGGGUAGGCAGACCUGCUUUUUCCAAAAUAUCCUUGCAGCCAGCAGCCAGGUCCAUCCGUUUGUUCAUACAGUGGCAAGAUGUCCAACAACUCCCUAAGGAACUUAAUGAGCAACUUGGAUCCAAUUCUUCAUUGUCCAUCAGAGGAAAGGAAUCCAUGCUUGGCAAUGAGCCUUUGGAUGCUCUACCAGGCUCUGUGGCCAGAACAAAGCGCCUUGUUAUCUCCGUGACAAGGAACCUACUUUAUGGUGUUGGACAGAGCACCUAGCACAUCACAUUCUCCCAAAUAGCACAAACUCAUACCCAGUGAAACUGGGAGAGCAAUGGGUGGUCUUUCUACUCUCAGAAACCUGUUUAUUUCCAUCUUGAUGGUAUGGAGAGGGUGCUGUGUGUUCCACAUUGUGCAAAGGCCUGGGACGUGAUGGCCACUGUUCCCACUCACCCAUCUCAUCAGCGUGUUGUAGACACCUGCAGAGACCUACACUGAACUGAGCAUGCUGGGGAGUGGAGGGCGUCAAUGAUGAAAUGCAUCCAGAACCUGCUUCAAAGCCAGGCCUCUGACACAGCUGCAGACUAGAUGCAUAGUGAAGGCUCAGGAAGUGUCGGCCAUGAUUGUUUUAUUUUGUUGUGAGACGGAGUCUGGCUCUGUCACCCAGGCUGGAGUGCAGUGGUACGAUCUCAGCUCACUGCAACUUCUGCCUUCCGGGUUCAAGUGAUUCUCAUGCCUCAA